RNAcentral lists this ribosomal RNA (467 nucleotides) under uncultured bacterium. Its description in RNAcentral is "bacterial SSU rRNA". It matches the Rfam family "Bacterial small subunit ribosomal RNA", at positions 33 to 518 of the family's 1533-position model. The record is from RNAcentral.
ACGCUGGCGGCGUGCUUCAUACAUGCAAGUCGAACGAUAAGGUCUCUUCGGAGACACAUAAGUGGCGGACGGGUGAGUAAAAUGUAGAGAAUCUGCCCUAGAGUGGGGGACAACAGUUGGAAACGACUGCUAAUACCGGCAUAGUGAGCGUACCUGCAAUGGUAUUCUUGAAAACUCCGGUGCUCUGGGAUGAGUCUGCAUCUGAUUAGCUAGUUGGCGGUGUAAUGGACCACCAAGGCGACGAUCAGUAGCUGGUUUGAGAGGAUGAUCAGCCACAAUGGGACUGAGACACGGCCCAUACUCCUACGGGAGGCAGCAGUAGGGAAUUUUUGCGCAAUGGGCGAAAGCCUGACGCAGCAACGCCGCGUGAUUGAAUAAGCCCUUCGGGGUGUAAAGAUCUGUCAGUAGGGACGAAACUUGACGGUACCUACAGAGGAAGCAUCGGCUAACUCCGUGCCAGCCGCGGC